AUGAACGCUGGCGGCGUGCCUAAUACAUGCAAGUCGAACGCUUCACUUCGGUGAAGAGUGGCGAACGGGUGAGUAAUACAUAAGUAACCUGGCAUCUACAGGGGGAUAACUGAUGGAAACGUCAGCUAAGACCGCAUAGGUGUAGAGAUCGCAUGAACUCUAUAUGAAAAAUGCUACGGGACUGGUAGAUGAUGGACUUAUGGCGCAUUAGCUUGUUGGUAGGGUAACGGCCUACCAAGGCGACGAUGCGUAGCCGACCUGAGAGGGUGACCGGCCACACUGGGACUGAGACACGGCCCAGACUCCUACGGGAGGCAGCAGUGGGAAUUUUCGGCAAUGGGGGAAACCCUGACCGAGCAACGCCGCGUGAAGGAAGAAGUAAUUCGCUAUGUAAACUUCUGUCAUAGAGGAAGAACGGUGGAUAUAGGGAAUGAUAUCCAAGUGACGGUACUCUAUAAGAAAGCCACGGCUAACUACGUG
This 480-nucleotide ribosomal RNA is filed under the name uncultured bacterium. RNAcentral's name for it is "partial 16S ribosomal RNA". It matches the Rfam family "Bacterial small subunit ribosomal RNA", at positions 29 to 507 of the family's 1533-position model. The record is from RNAcentral.